GGGGAAUCUUCCGCAAUGGGCGAAAGCCUGACGGAGCAACGCCGCGUGAGUGAAGACGGCCUUCGGGUUGUAAAGCUCUGUUAUACGGGACGAAUAAUCUUGUGGUUAAUACCCAUGAGAAGUGGCGGUACCGUAAGAGAAAGCCACGGCUAACUACGUGCCAGCAGCCGCGGUAAUACGUAGGUGGCAAGCGUUGUCCGGAAUUAUUGGGCGUAAAGGGCGCGCAGGCGGCUUCUUAAGUCUGUCUUAAAAGUGCGGGGCUUAACCCCGUGAUGGGAUGGAAACUGGGAAGCUCAGAGUAUCGGAGAGGAAAGCGGAAUUCCUAGUGUAGCGGUGAAAUGCGUAGAUAUUAGGAGGAACACCAGUGGCGAAAGCGGCUUUCUGGACGAAAACUGACGCUGAGGCGCGAAAGCCAGGGGAGCGAACGGGAUUAGAUACCCCGGUAGUCCUGGCCGUAAACGAUGGGUACUAGGUGUAGGAGGUAUCGACCCCUUCUGUGCCGGAGUUAACGCAAUAAGUACCCCGCCUGGGGAGUACGGCCGCAAGGUUG
This 550-nucleotide ribosomal RNA is filed under the name uncultured bacterium. RNAcentral's name for it is "bacterial SSU rRNA". It matches the Rfam family "Bacterial small subunit ribosomal RNA", at positions 356 to 896 of the family's 1533-position model. The record is from RNAcentral.